UGAGUAGCUCAGCUGGAUAGAGCAACAGCCUUCUAAGCUGUGGGUCGAGGGUUCGAAUCCCUCCUCG
Molecule: transfer RNA, 67 nt
Filed under: chicken gut metagenome
Rfam family: tRNA
About the family: Transfer RNA (tRNA) molecules are approximately 80 nucleotides in length.
Source: RNAcentral